RNAcentral lists this ribosomal RNA (253 nucleotides) under uncultured bacterium. RNAcentral's name for it is "partial 16S ribosomal RNA". It matches the Rfam family "Bacterial small subunit ribosomal RNA", at positions 524 to 776 of the family's 1533-position model. The record is from RNAcentral.
UACAGAGGCCACAAGCGUUAAUCGGAAUCACUGGGCUUAAAGGGUGCGUAGGCGGUCCCGCAAGUGCUUUGUGAAAUCCCAUCGCUCAACGAUGGAAUGGCUCGGCAUACUGCGGGACUUGAGGUCGGUAGAGGUCGUCGGAACAGUAGGUGGAGCGGUGAAAUGCGUAGAUAUCUACUGGAACGCCAAAGGUGAAGACAUGCGACUGGGCCGAUUCUGACGCUGAGGCACGAAAGCGUGGGGAGCGAACGGG